Molecule: long non-coding RNA, 468 nt
Organism: Cucumis melo (muskmelon)
Lineage: Eukaryota; Viridiplantae; Streptophyta; Magnoliopsida; Cucurbitales; Cucurbitaceae
Exons: 4
Source: RefSeq, a predicted model, not a curated record
AUAGAAGUGAACGUAGCAAAAAAAAAAAAAAAAAAACCCAUUAUGACCUUCUCCUUCAACACGUCCACGAACCCUUCUCCUUCAACAUGUCUGCAAUGUUGACAAUGGCAAUAGUGAACGUCCAGUGAACAUUUAUAACAUCAGCAAUAGUAGAAUUGACCCUUAUAUUUUGAUUUAGUGUAAAGGCCAAGAACACAAGAGCAAUGUUGCCAAAAGACUUCCGAACUUGCAAGAAAUAAGAAGCCUCUGUGGAUGGUAACCAAGAUAUGGGGUAGGGAUUUACUAAAAGAAAGAGGUAGUUGAAGAAUCAAUGGACCAUGGUAUCGAUCAAGUUCUCAUUUAUGCGUCAGUUUGAUUAGAUUAGGUCACACAUACAUGUAAUACUACAGUAAAUUUAUCUUUUGGAUUAUUGUAAAAUCUUUACCGAUAAUGUAAGUUAUAUUUUUUAUUAUCAAUAUUAAUAUCUUU